Molecule: long non-coding RNA, 711 nt
Filed under: Homo sapiens (human)
Lineage: Eukaryota; Metazoa; Chordata; Mammalia; Primates; Hominidae
Description: metastasis associated lung adenocarcinoma transcript 1
Source: RNAcentral
AGGCAUUGAGGCAGCCAGCGCAGGGGCUUCUGCUGAGGGGGCAGGCGGAGCUUGAGGAAACCGCAGAUAAGUUUUUUUCUCUUUGAAAGAUAGAGAUUAAUACAACUACUUAAAAAAUAUAGUCAAUAGGUUACUAAGAUAUUGCUUAGCGUUAAGUUUUUAACGUAAUUUUAAUAGCUUAAGAUUUUAAGAGAAAAUAUGAAGACUUAGAAGAGUAGCAUGAGGAAGGAAAAGAUAAAAGGUUUCUAAAACAUGACGGAGGUUGAGAUGAAGCUUCUUCAUGGAGUAAAAAAUGUAUUUAAAAGAAAAUUGAGAGAAAGGACUACAGAGCCCCGAAUUAAUACCAAUAGAAGGGCAAUGCUUUUAGAUUAAAAUGAAGGUGACUUAAACAGCUUAAAGUUUAGUUUAAAAGUUGUAGGUGAUUUAAUAAUAAUUUAAAACUACUAUAGAAACUGCAGAGCAAAGGAAGUGGCUUAAUGAUCCUGAAGGGAUUUCUUCUGAUGGUAGCUUUUGUAUUAUCAAGUAAGAUUCUAUUUUCAGUUGUGUGUAAGCAAGUUUUUUUUUAGUGUAGGAGAAAUACUUUUCCAUUGUUUAACUGCAAAACAAGAUGUUAAGGUAUGCUUCAAAAAUUUUGUAAAUUGUUUAUUUUAAACUUAUCUGUUUGUAAAUUGUAACUGAUUAAGAAUUGUGAUAGUUCAGCUUGAAUGUCUC